AACGUAGGUGGCAAGCGUUGUCCGGAGUUACUGGGUGUAAAGGGAGCGCAGGCGGAUUGGUAAGUUGAAUGUGAAAACUAUGGGCUCAACCCAUAGAUUGCGUUCAAAACUACUGAUCUUGAGUGAUGUAGAGGUAGGCGGAAUUCCCGGUGUAGCGGUGGAAUGCGUAGAUAUCGGGAGGAACACCAGUGGCGAAGGCGGCCUACUGGGCAUUUACUGACGCUGAGGCUCGAAAGUAUGGGGAGCAAACAGGAUUAGAUACCCUGGUAGU
Molecule: ribosomal RNA, 271 nt
Filed under: uncultured prokaryote
Description: partial 16S ribosomal RNA
Rfam family: Bacterial small subunit ribosomal RNA
Source: RNAcentral